Molecule: ribosomal RNA, 393 nt
Filed under: uncultured bacterium
Lineage: Bacteria
Description: bacterial SSU rRNA
Rfam family: Bacterial small subunit ribosomal RNA
Source: RNAcentral
GACGAACGCUGGCGGCGUGCUUAAUACAUGCAAGUCGAGCGAGGCCCAUCCAGUGGCAACACUGGGGAAGGCCGAGCGGCGAACGGGUGAGUAACACGUGAGCAACCUGCCCCGAAGUCUGGAAUAAACAUCGGGAAACCGGGUACGCUAAUACCGGAUUGCCCCACCCUGACCGCAUGAUCGGGUGAGGAAAGAUUUAUCGCUUCGGGAGGGGCUCGCGGCCUAUCAGCUAGNGGUCGGGGUAACGGGCCCACCAAGGCGUCGACGGUAGCUGGUCUGAGAGGACGACCAGCCACACUGGGACUGAGACACGGCCCAGACUCCUACGGGAGGCNGCAGUAGGGAAUCUUGCGCAAUGGGCGAAAGCCUGACGCAGCAACGCCGCGUGGGGGA